Schistocerca gregaria is the source of this 869-nucleotide long non-coding RNA. RefSeq lists it as uncharacterized. Lineage: Eukaryota; Metazoa; Arthropoda; Insecta; Orthoptera; Acrididae. The record is from RefSeq and is a predicted model, not a curated record. The transcript is spliced from 3 exons.
AAAUAGUAAUCUGUGACCUUUGGUGGUUACAACUGUUAUUUUAUAGUGUGUAGCGGCGCAAGAAAAUGGCAGACUUACGACGAUCGACUCGAAUUUUUUACGGAGCUCAUAGAGCUGUACCAAAGUUUUCCUUGCCUCUGGCAAGUAAAAUCUAAGGAUUACAGCGACCGAGACAAGAAAAAUCAGGCAUACACAGCUUUGGUCAAUAAGUACAAGAAAGUGUAUCCUGGAACAACAAAAGAAUUGAUCACCAAAAAUCAACUCAUUCCGAACAGUAUAUCACGAGGAGAGUGCGAAAGUAAGAGCACAUAUAAGAUCUGGUGUUGGAACAGAAUACAUUUAUGAAUCUUCUGUGUGGUACUUUAUUUUCCUUCUUUGAUGUCAGAGGCCAACACCCGAGAAGAUCACGAUGUAACAUAGAGGAUUCGUAAAAAGAGGAGUAUGAGGAACAAGAAUUAGUAAAUAAAGAAGACUCGCCAACAGAUGUUGAAUUUUCCACUUAUCUAACAUCAAGAGAGGGAAGAGUGGAACCUGUAACAAAAAGUGUAUCAAGCUGUGACACACCAACGCCCAGCGACCAGUCUUCUGUCAAGAGAAAGAGAAACCAGUUGAAAGAUAUAAUGCAGCUAUUGAUGUACUUAGACUGGCUGGUGGGAAACUAAAUGCCAUAUCGCAUAUUCUCAUGGAUGAAAUCACAGUAGGAUCAUCAGCAUAUGGAACAGUCUUGCAAGCAAUAUAGUUUAAAAAGUCAUUAAGUUAAAUGACAAAGUGGAAUGGUCCAAGAAGAGAGCCUUGUGGGAUACUCUCCUGAUUUUCUUUAGGUCUGAUCUUUCCUUUUUGACAUGCACUCAUUGUUGCCUGUUGUUUAG